ACUCCUACGGGAGGCAGCAGUGGGGAAUAUUGCACAAUGGGGAAACCCUGAUGCAGCCAUGCCGCGUGUGUGAAGAAGGCCUUCGGUUGUAAAGCACUUUCAGUAGGGAGGAAGGUAGUGUAGUUAAUACCUGCAUUAUUUGACGUUACCUACAGAAGAAGCACCGGCUAACUCCGUGCCAGCAGCCGCGGUAAUACGGAGGGGUGCGAGCGUUAAUCGGAAUUACUGGGCGUAAAGCGCAUGCAGGCGGCCUGUUAAGUCAGAUGUGAAAGCCCGGGGGCUUAACCUCGGAAUUGCAUUUGAAACUAGGCAGGCUAGAGUCUUGUAGAGGGGGUAGGAAUUUCAGGUGUAGCGGUGAAAUGCGUAGAGAUCUGAAGGAAUACCAGUGGCGAAGGCGGCCCCUGGACAAGACUGACGCUCAGAUGCGAAAGCGUGGGAGGCAAACAGGAUUAGAUACCCUGGUAGGAUAGCG
This 472-nucleotide ribosomal RNA is filed under the name uncultured bacterium. Its description in RNAcentral is "bacterial SSU rRNA". It matches the Rfam family "Bacterial small subunit ribosomal RNA", at positions 335 to 799 of the family's 1533-position model. The record is from RNAcentral.